CCUCGCCGGAUGUGCAGGAAGUGGAAAAUGCCACCACAUCAGGAGGUAUUCGAGCUGUUGGGGGCGGAUUGGACACCUACAGUGCCCAUGUCCUAAUUGGGGAGAUCAUGUCCUGCAGGGCAGAAAUAGAGGACACAAACCUUGCCUUAGAGAAGCUUAUAAAGAAAAAC
Rana temporaria (common frog) is the source of this 170-nucleotide long non-coding RNA. RefSeq lists it as uncharacterized. The record is from RefSeq and is a predicted model, not a curated record. NCBI's taxonomy places the organism in Eukaryota, Metazoa, Chordata, Amphibia, Anura, Ranidae. The transcript is spliced from 2 exons.